UACAGAGGGGGCAAGCGUUGUUCGGAAUUACUGGGCGUAAAGGGCGCGUAGGCGGCCCGCUAAGUCGAACGUGAAAUCCCCCGAGCUCAACUCGGGAACUGCGUCCGAUACUGGAUGGCUUGAAUCCGGGAGAGGGAUGCGGAAUUCCAGGUGUAGCGGUGAAAUGCGUAGAUAUCUGGAGGAACACCGGUGGCGAAGGCGGCAUCCUGGACCGGUAUUGACACUGAAAAGCGAAAGCCAGGGGAGCAAACGGG
This 254-nucleotide ribosomal RNA is filed under the name uncultured bacterium. RNAcentral's name for it is "partial 16S ribosomal RNA". It matches the Rfam family "Bacterial small subunit ribosomal RNA", at positions 524 to 776 of the family's 1533-position model. The record is from RNAcentral.